GCACUGUCUUUGAACCUUUUUGGUCUCACUGUGACCUCUCAGGCCAAGCUACAGUGCUAAAACAAAUUUGAUCUUGUUCAUAACUGGAGCCUCCUGGCUACACCUCCGGGUGGCUCUUUUAAAAGCAAGAGACAACG
This is a non-coding RNA of Xyrichtys novacula (pearly razorfish), 137 nucleotides long. The record is from the annotation of a GenBank genome assembly. NCBI's taxonomy places the organism in Eukaryota, Metazoa, Chordata, Actinopteri, Labriformes, Labridae.